AGACUUCUCUAAUGGACUGAGAAGGUGCAUGUACAGCACUUAGCCUAGCACCCAGCGCAGCAACUCUAGACAUCGCGUCCAACAACCGUAAGGGUAUCGCCUUCGCUGACUCUGGCGCACACUGGCAGCUGCAUCGAAGGCUGGCAAUGGCCACCUUUGCCCUGUUCAAGGACGGCGAUCAGAAGCUGGAGAAGAUCAUUUGUCAGGAAAUCAGUACAUUGUGUGAUAUGCUGGCCACCCACAACGGACAGUCCAUAGACAUCUCCUUUCCUGUCUUCGUGGCGGUAACCAAUGUCAUCUCCUUGAUCUGCUUCAAUACCUCCUACAAGAAUGGGGACCCUGAGUUGAAUAUUAUACAGAAUUACAAUGAAGGCAUCAUAGACAACCUGAGCAAAGACAGCCUGGUGGACCUAGUCCCCUGGUUGAAGAUUUUCCCCAACAAAACCCUGGAAAAAUUAAAGAGCCAUGUUAAAAUACGAAAUGAUCUGCUGAAUAAAAUACUUGAAAAUUACAAGGAGAAAUUCCGGAGUGACUCUAUCACCAACAUGCUGGACACACUGAUGCAAGCCAAGAUGAACUCAGAUAAUGGCAAUGCUGGCCCAGAUCAAGACUCAGAGCUGCUUUCAGAUAACCACAUUCUCACCACCAUAGGGGACAUCUUUGGGGCUGGCGUGGAGACCACCACCUCUGUGGUUAAAUGGACCCUGGCCUUCCUGCUGCACAAUCCUCAGGUGAAGAAGAAGCUCUACGAGGAGAUUGACCAGAAUGUGGGUUUCAGCCGCACACCAACUAUCAGUGACCGUAACCGUCUCCUCCUGCUGGAGGCCACCAUCCGAGAGGUGCUUCGCCUCAGGCCCGUGGCCCCUAUGCUCAUCCCCCACAAGGCCAACGUUGACUCCAGCAUCGGUGAGUUUGCUGUGGACAAGGGCACACAAGUUAUCAUCAAUCUGUGGGCGCUGCAUCACAAUGAGAAGGAGUGGCACCAGCCGGAUCAGUUCAUGCCUGAGCGUUUCUUGAAUCCAGCGGGGACCCAGCUCAUCUCACCGUCAGUAAGCUAUUUGCCCUUCGGAGCAGGACCUCGCUCCUGUAUAGGUGAGAUCCUGGCCCGCCAGGAGCUCUUCCUCAUCAUGGCCUGGCUGCUGCAGAGGUUCGACCUGGAGGUGCCAGAUGAUGGACAGCUGCCCUCCCUGGAAGGCAUCCCCAAGGUGGUCUUUCUGAUCGACUCUUUCAAAGUGAAGAUCAAGGUGCGCCAGGCCUGGAGGGAAGCCCAGGCUGAGGGUAGCACCUAAAGGCUGUAACUCACAGCCCCUGUCCACCCUAUGUGGCCCCACAACACAGAUUUAGAGAUACAACCCCCCACCCUUCUCCGCCAUUCUUCCCUACUCC
This 1386-nucleotide small RNA is filed under the name Pan troglodytes (chimpanzee). RNAcentral describes it as "processed transcript". Lineage: Eukaryota; Metazoa; Chordata; Mammalia; Primates; Hominidae. The record is from RNAcentral.